Non-coding RNA from Camelina sativa (false flax), 200 nucleotides. The record is from RefSeq and is a predicted model, not a curated record. Lineage: Eukaryota; Viridiplantae; Streptophyta; Magnoliopsida; Brassicales; Brassicaceae.
UUUGGACUCGCUGGAUAGAACUAUUUCUUUACUGUAGGCCAGGAGGAUUUUGGUGCCCGGUGAGGAUAGGGAGGACGUUGGUCGUUGUUUUGUUUUCGUAGUUGGUGUCUCUUCUUCUGGUUUUACCGACGGCCAAGUACAGGUCGGGUUGAAGAAUGAAGACUGACUAAGUAGCACUUGGGAUAAAAACAAAAACAGAG